GAUUAGCGGCGGACGGGUGAGUAACACGUGGGUAACCUGCCUCAUAGAGGGGAAUAGCCUUUCGAAAGGAAGAUUAAUACCGCAUAAGAUUGUAGUACCGCAUGGUACAGCAAUUAAAGGAGCAAUCCGCUAUGAGAUGGGCCCGCGGCGCAUUAGCUAGUUGGUGAGGUAACGGCUCACCAAGGCGACGAUGCGUAGCCGACCUGAGAGGGUGAUCGGCCACAUUGGGACUGAGACACGGCCCAGACUCC
Molecule: ribosomal RNA, 251 nt
Filed under: uncultured Clostridium sp.
Lineage: Bacteria; Bacillati; Bacillota; Clostridia; Eubacteriales; Clostridiaceae
Description: partial 16S ribosomal RNA
Rfam family: Bacterial small subunit ribosomal RNA
Source: RNAcentral